GGGCUCGUAGCUCAGCUAGGUAGAGCGGCAGGCUCUUAACCUGUUGGUCGGGGGUUCAAAUCCCCCCGAGCCCG
Molecule: transfer RNA, 74 nt
Filed under: Thermoplasmata archaeon
Lineage: Archaea; Methanobacteriati; Thermoplasmatota; Thermoplasmata
Also listed under: 2 other names
Description: tRNA-Lys
Rfam family: tRNA
About the family: Transfer RNA (tRNA) molecules are approximately 80 nucleotides in length. Their secondary structure includes four short double-helical elements and three loops (D, anti-codon, and T loops).
Source: RNAcentral